RNAcentral lists this long non-coding RNA (39906 nucleotides) under Triticum aestivum (bread wheat). Its description in RNAcentral is "long non-coding RNA (TAES_LNC027131)". Lineage: Eukaryota; Viridiplantae; Streptophyta; Magnoliopsida; Poales; Poaceae. The record is from RNAcentral.
CUGUUAUGAUUCCUGUUGGAGUUUGCCUUGAUCUGGUUAGGUCUAGUGGUUUGCGUGAUGCUAGGUGUCACUGGGUUUUCGCCCCGUGAUGGGCUACUCGAUGACGAGUGCUCAUAGUGGGUUUCCCAGUGAUGCUUUGAUAUAGCCUUACCCCUUUCUUACUUCCUUAUACUGUAGUCGUUUAUGCUGGGUCUGUGUUCGUUGAACUUUAAACUUUGUAUUUCCGUUAUGCAAUUAAUGGAAAGGGGUUAUGGCCCGGGUCAAAAAAAUACAAGCGUCCUUGAGACUGCCCAACAUCACAGAUUCGUCCUUGAGAGUGCCCAACAUCACAGGUGUUUGGCAUUUGAAUCUCCCUCCAAACUUUCCCCUCCACGUCGACUAUGGCUAUUCUCUUAUCAAGGGUAGGCAGAUGGAUAGUGCCAUUCAGGAAGACCUGUGUGUAUAUACCAUGAUUCACGAGAGGAUCUCUUGUCCACUUACUUUGCACAUGAGUCCACCCUCCAGUUUCUGUCGAGUAGAUUGACACUUUUCCGGAAUCGUUCAUACCAACCAUCUAGCUCUCGGGAGCAAACACCACAAAGCGGGAUGGAAUAGCAGGGUCGAAACCUAGGAAAGGGAUGGGAUCGGGACCUGGAAAUCCGACAGGAGGCAGCACAGUCCACUCUUGGGUAGCAGGAUUGCAGACAACAUAAUAGGAUUCGUCUUGCAGAUUAUCCGAGCAGCUGCACAGGAGAAGGCCGCCGCAGACGUGUUGGACAGAAAUGUGGCGGUACCUUUGGCGCAAGAAAGGGAGAGAGGGGUCGACAAGUGGCGGACCUCUCCCAUUCAAAUUGCGGAAAUUGAGGACACGGGCGUUCUUGUAGAAGAAGCCGGAGAGGGUCUGUGGCGACCUCUUGCGGAUGUUCGGGGCGGAGCAGAGGGCGAGGCACGGCUUGGACACGCACUUGAAGCGGCAGAGCGACCUGUAGGGCACACGCGAAAGGAUCUCGACGAGGGCGCCCUCGGGGAGGCUCGGCACGAUCUGCUGCUCUUGCUCCAGCUUCUGCACCUGCUUCUUCUUUACAUCCUGUAAAUGAUGGAGAGGACGGCUCAUUUAGGCUCCCGAUCCCCUUUCUUGGAUCGAUGACAAUUGACGGGGCCAGUCGAGGAUCUUGUUCUAAAAGAGAAAGAACAUUGCAGAAGCAUGGAGCAAACCUCGGAAGCCACCGGGACAAUGGCGGGGAGCGGCGGCGUAGAAUGGGGCAGAGCGUCUUCGUCGCGACGGACGGUGACCGGCGGGUGGCUCUGCACCGUGCAGCCGUGCUCGCCCCCUCCUUCUCCUCCUGGCGGCAUGACCUCCUCUCCAGCUGGCGCUAGGGUUCGUGAAAUCGUGAUGGGGCGUGACUGCGAGUGGAGUGGAGUGGCCCCGUUGAUAAUGGGCUCUCCGAUUUUUUUUCUUUAUUAGCCGUGGUUCUAAAGGCGGCCCAAAUGAUUCUGAUGAUUUGUUGGACCUCUCCACUGAAUAGUCGAACAAUUUUCUUGGUUGGUUUGUUAAUUUACGAGCCGAUGAUAAAAAAAAGAUUUGCAUCAGCAGAAUGUGCAUGUACUAGAUAUGUUUUGAAUUACAACUUGUUGGCACCUAUUAGUCUUGCCUAGCUUUGUAGAAGAAGAUAUCAAUAUUCAUACUAUGAAAUCAAUAUUAUGAGAUGCAUGAUGAAAUUAAUUUUCAUAAUAUAUAACUUUAGUAUUGUGAUGUCGAUAUUUUUUUACUAAAAAGUUGGUCAAACUUUACAACGCUUGAUUUUGACCAAAUCUUAUAUGCAGACUAAAAAGAAACGGAGGGAGUAAUUAAACUCAUUAAGCUACGCGUGAAGGGCGACCAACCAGCUAUGCCACGUGGCGCAAACUGGUUGGGCACGGUGAGAAACUUUUGAAUUUUUUUAGAUGAAGAUGUGGAUUAUUUUUUAAAAUGUAUUUUUUCUUUUUAGAUGGAGGUGAGGAGCUCUGGUAUUUUUUAAAUGGAGGGUUGUGCAAAGUGGCACUCGCUAGUUGGCUGCGGUGAUAUUUUUUCCUUUUUACUUUUUUUAGAUGAAGGUGAAGAUUUUCUUUUGAGAUGAUAGGCCUUGCACCGUGUGCCUCAUUCUUUCAAGACUUUAUUGAUGCUUAAUGCUCAUCCAUACAUUAGUCUUCUCAAGUGCAUUGCCUUCACUCUCACACAUCAUUUUGGUUGAGCCCAUUCUUAAGUUGCCUCUUUCACUUGUUGCUCAACCAUGUGUUAGUCGCAAGUACUAGGCUUAGUUUCCUAUAUGCUCACUUGCACUUGUUGUUAGUUUCUAUUGAUUUUGGGGGAGCUAUGAUCCUAUUUUGUGCACUUUGUAUCCAAAUACAAAUCUUCUUAUGCGUGCACAAAUCAUGGGGAGCUUCUCUAGUUUCUCUAGAACACUCUGUUAUUCUUGUGGCACGUAGGAUCUUUGGUCUAGUUGGUUCAAUUGGUAUCUUUUGAUUGCUUGCUUCAAUUGGUACCUUUCGAUUGCUUGAUUGCUUGUGUCUCUCUUUGUUAUGUCUUUGUGGCAUAUCUUUCUUUUGCAAUCUUUGGGCCUCAAUAUAGUUUGUCUUCCUCCAAGUAUUUACCGUUGGAUAUGUGUAUUGCAUUCCAGUCUCUUGUUGAGAAAUACACAACUUAUGGAGGAACUCAAUCUAUAUUGGCCUUCUAAGCUUUUCGCCCAUUUUGGCAAUCGAUGCCAAUGGGGGAGAAGUUUCAGAGAGUUUUGUGGAGUUUUCAGAGAGUUUUGUGGAGAAGACUUUAGAGUUUUCUCCUUGCUUUGGUUUUGUUCCUAAGCAUUUGCAUCUCAUACGCAUGCAUUAUUGGUUGUUGCAUUGCAUGGUGAUGCAUAAUUCCUUGUAUUAAACUCUCUUGAAAGUGAUUGUCAUCAAUUACCAAAAUGGGGGAGAUUGAAAGAACAUGCGGUGCCCCCAUGUUUGGUUUUGGUAAUUGAUGACAAUCUCUAUGGACUAAUGGUUGCCUUGAGUUAUAUUUGAAGGUUUUGUCCAUAGGCUUUUCUUGGAGUACAUGUGUUGGUUUCAAGGAGAGUUUGUGUCGACCAAGGUGUUAUUCAAGGAAUUAUUCAAAGAUUGGUCAUUUGAGAGUUGAGCUUAUUGAAAGCAUGUCUUGAAGAAGAAGAUUGUGUGAUCAUUCAUGUUUACUUUCAAGACAUUAUCCAAACGAGGAGAGUUGGAAAGAUUUAAGGUUGAUCAAGACUAAGUCAAGAGUGAAUCAAGUUGAUCAACUCACAAAGCGUAGAAGAUGUACCAAGAGGGAUCAAGUGAUCCCAUGGUUUGGUAAGCAUUGUCCAUUGCGCUUUGUGUACUAACCCAUGGUCUAUGUGAGAGUUCUACAUGGGGUUAGGUACGUGUUCAUGGGCUUGUGUCAAGAGGAAGAUAUCACUCAACCCAUGGAGAGGAUGACAUCAUGUGGUGAUCGUCAUCAAGAUUGUCGUGUGCAAGUUCAAGUGGAUCAUCGCGAAGAGAUCAAGUGCUUGAAGCUUGCCGGCCAUUGUGGUGACAAUGGACUUGUGAAGAUGUGCCGAAGAGUGGCUCGCCCAUAGUGGUCUAUGGGGGAGCAAUCAUCUAGUCUUCAUCGUGCCAACGCAAUAAAGUAAGGUGGUCCAAUUUGAGGGAGUCAAGAUCGUCAUCAUCUAGUUCAAGUGGACCAUGUGUAAAGCAAAGGUUUGCUCUUGAUAGGUUUUCUAUUUUACUGGUCUCAUGGUGGUAGUUUGGAGACUGGGUUAUAGGAUCGUUUGCCGUACUAUCAAGGGGGGCUCUCAAGUUGGUAGCUUGAUCGUAUCGUUAGUAGAGAGCUCAAACCAUUGCAUCCUUGCAUCAUCUUUCCUGGUUCUUGUUUGGUUCUCUUUGUGAGUCUUAGAGCUUAUGGUCAUCUUGAUGACAAGCUUGAGUUCAUCGAAAACGGAGUUCGCAUGCAUCUUCUAUGAUGUUUUCGAUGUUGGAGGUUUUGCCGAUUCUUCUCGGUUGGAGGUUUCACUCCUCUUUUUGUUUGUCGCUGUUUUGAUGCUACUCGUCGUCUUGUUUCCAACAAGCUUGAGUUUGCUCAAUUCGGAGCUCAUAUGCAGAAGUUACGGUAGUUCUUGUUUUCUUGAGUGUGGUUUUUGUCAGGGUCCCAGCGGUAGUACCGUGGUACCCAGCGGUAGUACCGCUGAGGGGUCACAAGCGGCAGUACCGCUCCGCAGCGGUAGUACCGACGGUGACUCCGCAGCAGUACUACCGCUGGCUUACCAGGUCCCUACCGCGUCGAUUCGAGGGGUCUUUUUUUGUGUCGGAUUGUGCGGUACCUCGCUGCAGCAGUACCGCUCCUUAGCGGCAGUACCGCCCUUCCGCCGCGGUAGUACCGCCCGGUUCCUCUUUCCCUUUACCCUUCGUUCUGCGCGGCAGUACCGCCGAAGGGAGCGGUAGUACCGCUUAACCCAGCGGUAGUACCGCUGUCUCCUGCGGUACUACCGCCCCAAGGUUCAUGUUUUGUUGCUCCUUUUCCCUGUUUCUUCCACCUAAGCGGUAGUACCGCUCGUGAAGCGGUAGUACCAUUCGUGUGCGGGCUGAGCACAUAACGGUUGGAUUUUCCCCCUCCUAUAAAAGGGGGUCUUCUUCCCCAAUGAACCUUAUCCUUUGAGCUCGUGUUCUUCCCCCAUUGUUGACCUUCUUCGAGCUUGCUAACUCUCAAUCCCUCCAUGGAUUCUUGCUAGUUUUUGAGGGAAAAGAGAGAGGAGAUCUAAAUCCACAUUUCCACCAAUCACUUUCUCCUCUAUGUGAGGGGAACCCCUUGGAUCUAGAUCUUGGAGUUCUUGGUGUUCUCCUUCUUGUUCUUCCUCUCAUUUUCCCUAGCAUUAGUUGCUUCAGUGGGAUUUGAGAGAGAAGGACUUGGGCACUCAGUGUGCCCUUGCCAUUGCAUUUGAUGCAUCGAUUUGAGUUCUCCACGGUGAUACGUGGAAGUGAAGGUUGAGAAGCUUAUUACUCUUGGGUGUUUGGGCACCCUAGAGCUUGUUCCUCUUGGGUGCCUUGGCGCCCUAGACGGUUGGUGUUGUUCGGAGCUCAAUCAUUGUGGUGAAAAGCUUCGGGCAAGCAUCGGAGUCUCCAAUUAGGUUGUGGAGAUCGCCCCGAGCAAUUUGACGGGUACCGGUGACCGCCCCCAAGGGUUGCCAAAGUGUACGGGUUCAGUGACCGCCCCCAAGGGUUGCCAUUUGUACGGGUUCGGUGACCGCCCUCAAGGGUCCCUUAGUGGAAUCACGGCAUCUUGCAUUGUGCGAGGGCGUGAGGAGAUUACGGUGGCCCUAGUGGCUUCUUGGGGAGCAUUGUGCCUCCACACCGCUCCAAACGGAGAUUAGCAUCCGCAAGGGUGUGAACUUCAGGGUACAUCGCCGUCUCCGCGUGCCUCGGUUAUCUCUUACCCGAGCCCCUUUACUUAUGCACUUUACUUUAUGAUAGCCAUAUUGUUUCUUGUCAUAUAUCUUGCUAUCACAUAGUUGUUUAUCUUGCUUAGCAUAAGUUGUUGGUGCACAUAGGUGAUCCUAGUUGUUUUAGGUUUUGUGCUUGACAAAUUAACCGCUAGGCUUAUUCCGCAUUUGUUAAAGCCUAAACCAUAAUUAUUUUAAAACGCCUAUUCACCCCCGCCCCCUCUAGGCGGCAUCGACGAUCUUUCAAUGUGCUCCCUUCGGUCCUUUUUACUCUGCAUAUUAGAAUUCUCUAAAGUUAAACUUCACAAAGUUUGACUGUAUUUAUAUGAAAAAAUAUCAAUAUCUGCCAUGCUAAAGUUAUAUAAUAUAAAAUUUUAAGUCAUGACACAUCUAGUGGUAUUGAUUUCAGAUUGUGAAUGUUGACACUUUUUUUUACAAAGCUGGUCAAAUUUUAUGAGGCUUGACUUUGGUCAAAUCUUAUAUGCGAAUUAAAAAGGACCGGGGGAAGUACAAGAGUGGGCUAUGAGCCUAAUGCAUGGAGUUGGCCUCUUGCUAAGUUUUCUCGGUUACUUCGGUACUUCGGGUACUCGAUUUAAAACUGAAGUGACCGAUGUAAUUUCGGUUUUACAAAGUUGCUGACCGAAUUUAGUAACGAUUUUUUCGGUUUUGGUUCAUUCGGCUUCGGUCUUGGUUUUUCCGGUUCGGUAAUUUGGUCUUCGGUUAAAAUGCCCACCCCUAGCUGCCAGUGAGAGCGUGUACUUCGUGAUAACAGGCCCUUGGAUGGAUUAGUACUAUCAGCAGGUGGGAAUCUAAAAAUGGCCCAAUGGAUCAUGAUAGUUCCUCAACCCUCUUUCCUUGUUGCCCGAGAAAAAUAAACUCCCCUGACUUUUUUACAGCGCAAAAGAGCUUUGCAUCAGGAGAAUGUACAUAGCGGUUUUUGUAUGUGUUGGUACUAACAUAUUCUGAAGCAAUUUGCAAGAUACUCCAUACUAACAUUGAUGAAGGAGUAAAAAUACUCCUACAAAUUGUGCCUCAGGUAGCAAGAAAGAAUACUCCAUACUAACAUGUAUGGCGCCGGAAGCCAUACGGUACACGCCGGCUCAAUCAAGAAAGAAGCAAGCCGUCAGCGCUAACCAAGCCUGCCUCCAACUCCUGGCCUCAUCGAUGAUUCCACCAUGAAUUUGUGAAACGGAGCUGGCCACUACCAAAAACAACCUCCUCCGAACGGAAUAUUUUUCCCUUUGGAAAACAAAUCAAAUAACUCCAUUCAGACGCACCUGGUGCAGCACGCAACCUUCUUUCAGCACGCAACCUUCUUUCAACCUUCGAUCGAGUUCACAUCCACUCCCCCUUUCCAAGCUUUACUCUUUCUUUACUUGUCGCCGAACCAUAUAACACAUGCAUGUCAGCUCUUAAUUAAGCCUCCAACAUCGACCGACCAAGCAUUAAGUGCUGACAGUUAUAUAUAUAUAUAUAUAUAUAUAUAUCGAUGACACAUGUACUACAUGACAUCAUACUACGCAGUAGUUAUCUGAAUUUUUCUGGAUGUAUCACUAUAACAUAGUGUAAGUGGGUGACAUGCACUACUAGGGAAAACCUAGUGGUAGCGCGGGUUUUGAGACUAUCAGCAGCGCGGCUACCCGCGCUACUACUACAGCGCUACAAUUAACAGUUAGUAGUAGCGCGGUCUAUACCCGCGCUACUACUAUUGACUAUAUCAGCGUCGUUUUUCUGGAACGCGCUACUGUUAAGUAGCUGCAGCGCUUUCCUAUACCCGCGCUAGUGCUGUAUCUUUCAUCAUUUUUCUUCCUACCCCGUUUGAAUAAACUGCAAUUUUACAUAUACCAGAUAACAAUAUCAUUAAACGCAAUACCAUAUAGUCAUAUAAUAGGUAUACAAUAUCGUAAAGCAUUAUAGGUACUAGGUAGUACUAGAUAACAAUUUCAUAUAUAGUCAACAUGCAUUCUCAAGCAGUACUAGGUAGUCUUAUACAGCCACACAAAUAUAGCAGUUUUACUAGGUAUAUAUAGUCAUACAGCCACACACACAUAUAUAGUUCUAGAUGAUAUCGACGACGAUCAUCAUCCUCAAGCCUGGGCGGUGGGUGUUCCUAAUAGUAAUUAGGAUGGCCUGUCCAACACGAAGAUUCUUGCCAACGAGGAAUCUCUUCCACCCAACCGAGCUUAAAUGUGUGCGACCGUCCAUGUCCAGGCCGUAAGUACAGGUGGUGACGGAGCCCCUUGCGGUAAGGCGUAGUCCAGUUGAGUCUUCUUCAUCAGACUCGAUACCACAACUCACAGAUAGGCUCUUUGGCAAUUUCUGAAUAAGAAAACCAUAUCAGUUAAUAAGUAGCCUCGCACAUACUCUGGCAAAUAUAUUUCUACUAAGUAUAGAUUUCUACAUUAUCAAAAGACACAGUACUACACAUUUCUACUAAGCAUGAAUUCUACUAAUAAGUAUAUAUGAAUUAUCUACACUAUUAAUAGUUUCUUCGAUUCUACACUAAUAAACAUGUGAUCGGACUCUACACUAAAGCAUAUCAUCAACUUGAUUCCACACAACAUAUCAUUUGACUCUACACUAAGCAUAUCAUCGGAUUCACUAAGAAUAUCAUCGGAUAUUUUGCAUUUGUAAGUAUAAUAAUAAAGCAUAUAUAUAUCAUCACAUUACUACAGUUAGUAUAACAUACCAUAUCAUGCCGAUCGACCAUGGUACUUGUCAGGCGGAUCACGAAUGGCACCCCGACAAAGUCAUCACGUGGCGGAAUUAUGUCCCAUAGGUUGCACACCUCCUUCUUGCUCAGCCUCAUUCUUUGCUCAGCUUCAUGAAGUGGUUCCUCAUCAUCCUCCACCUUGUUGAUAUAAAUGACAACCAGCUUGGGUCUUUUUGCUCUGAAGAAGAAGCUGAUCAAUGCACCACCAGUAACACGCAUGCGUGCGAGGAAAUGUGCCCAUCUAUCUCCUCCAAUCUGCGACAUAUUGCAUCCUUUCUCGACCUCCAUAGUGUAGGGCCCUCCAGGAGCCUCAAAGGUCACAGUGUCUCCUGUCAGCUUGUUGAAUUUCAACCUCACAUUGCAUGAGACGAUCUGUGUACAAAAAGCAAAAUGACACAAUGCAUUAAUGCCAACACUAAAAACAAAAUAGUUGUUACAUUUCAUAUAAUUUCUUACUGCCGCAUGACGAAAACUCGGCUGGAAGUAGAUGCCGAACAACUUGCCAGUUGUAAGGCUACUGGCGCACCUUGACUUGCACAGUCGACAUGGUGGUGGUGGUCGCGCCAUUUUCCUAAAGCAGUAUUAGCAAAGAUGAACGAUCCACUUCACAGGAAAGGAAAACAAUAACAUAAAGUUCUCAAUGCAUCGAUCUUAAUCAGAAAACAGAAUAUUCAGGCUUAGUAACUAAAAUUAACAUAUAAGAUGAUAUGAGGUUAGCAACAGACAUUACAUAUAACAAGAACUGUCAUGCUACUGUUUUCAAUCUUUGUUGUUUAUCUUGUGCCAAACUGAAUAUAUUUAACAAGUUAGCAUCAAUACUAAUUAAACAAGACCAAUGAAUCUAACAACCACAUGUAGCAACUUAGCAUGGGAUGAUCAUCAAGCUCAACAUGCAAACCAACAUAGCAAACUAGUAUCGACUAUUCUAAAUCCUAGUAACUAUCCUAAAUCAAAUUGUUAUAUAUGACCAGAGGCUUAUAUGAACUGAACGCUAUCAACUAUGUCUAAAUUUUUAGUUACCAGUUAAUCAUACUAAAUCAAAAUUGUUAUAUAUCAACUACAAACUAUUAAGUAAAUCAAAAUGUUGCAUAUCAACAAGAAAAUAUCAACUAGCCUACUAAAUCAAAAUGUAGGAGGGGUGGGGGGGUUGCGGAUGGAGGAUGGAGGAGGUAGAAGGAGGGGCGACUGGAGGAGGGAGGAGGAAGGAGGAAGGAGGAGGAAGGCGGAGCGAGGAGGGGCCGGCCGGCGGCGAACAGAGGAGCGGAGGGAGGACGGAGGAGGAGGGAGGCCGGCGAAGGAUUACCGAGUCCAGGGAGGAGGAGGAGGUAACGGCGGCGCAAAGGAAGGAGCGGUAGGCGAUGGCGGCCGGCAGGGGCGAGGGCGGCCGGCGGGGGAGGACCGACACGGGGGGAUUGAGGGGGGAGAUCAAGUGAGUGAUACGUCUCCAACGUAUCUAUAAUUUUUGAUUGUUCCAUGCUAUUAUAUUAUCCAUCUAGGUUGUUUAUAUGCAUUUAUAUGCUAUUUUAUAUGAUUAUUGGGACUAACCUAUUAUCCUAGAGCCCAGUGCCAGUUUCUGUUUUUUCCUUGUUUUUGAGUAUCACAGAAAAGGAAAACCAAACGGAGUCCAAUAGACCUGAAACUUGACGGAGCUUAUUUUUGGACCAGAAGAAGGCCAUGGAGUAAAAGAGUUGUGCCAGAAGAGUCUUGGGCUGCCCACGAGGGUGGGGGCGCGCCUCCCUGCCGCGUGGAUAGCCCGGANNNNNNNNNNNNNNNNNNNNNNNNNNNNNNNNNNNNNNNNNNNNNNNNNNNNNNNNNNNNNNNNNNNNNNNNNNNNNNNNNNNNNNNNNNNNNNNNNNNNNNNNNNNNNNNNNNNNNNNNNNNNNNNNNNNNNNNNNNNNNNNNNNNNNNNNNNNNNNNNNNNNNNNNNNNNNNNNNNNNNNNNNNNNNNNNNNNNNNNNNGUUCUCGAUGCCAAAACCUCUUUUAUAUACUGAAACCUCCAGAACAUAACCUAGAUUGGGAGUUUCUCCGCUAGAAGCCUCCGUAGCCACCAAAAACCAAUCUAGACCCAUUCCAGCACCCUGCCGGAGGGGGGAAUCCCUCUCCGGUGGCCAUCUUCAUCAUCCCGGCGCUCUCCAUGAUGAGGAGGGAGUAGUUCACCCUCGGGACUGAGGGUUUGAUCUCUCUCUCUCUCUCUCGUGUUCUUGAGUCGGCACGAUCUUGAUGUAUCGCAAGCUUUGCUAUUAUAUUUAGAUCUUAUGAUGUUUCUCCCCUCUACUCUCUUGUGAUGAAUUGAGUUUUCCCUUUGAAGUUAUCUUAUCGGAUUGAGUCUUUAAGGAUUUGAGAAAACUUGAUGUAUGUCUUGCAUGUGCUUAUCUGUGGUCACAAUGGAAUAUCAUGUGAUCCACUUGAUGUAUGAUUUGUGAUCAACUUGCGAGUUCCGUGACCUCAUGAACUUAUGCAUAGGGGUUGGCACACGUUUUUGUCUUGACUCUCAGGUAGAAAUUUUGGGGCACUCUUUGAAGUUCUUUGUGUUGGUUGAAUAGAUGAAUCUGAGAUUGUGUGAUGCAUAUCGUAUAAUCAUACCCACAGAUACUUGAGGUGACAUUGGAGUAUCUAGGUAAUGUUAGGGUUUUGGUUAAUUUGUGUCUUAAGGUGUUAUUCUAGUACGAACUCUAUGAUAGAUUGAAUGGAAAGAAUAGCUUCGUGUUAUUUUACUACGGACUCUUGAAUAGAUCGAUCAGAAAGGAUAACUUUGAGGUGGUUUCGUACCCUAUAAUAAUCUCUUCAUUUGUUCUCCGCUAUUAGUGACUUUGGAGUGACUCUUUGUUGCAUGUUGAGGGAUUGUUAUAUGAUCCAAUUAUGUUAUUAUUGUCAGAGAAAACUUGCACUAGUGAAAGUAUGAACCCUAGGCCUUGUUUCCUAGCAUUGCAAUGCCGUUUGUGCUCACUUUUAUCAUUAGUUACCUUGCAGUUUUUAUAUUUUCAGAUUACAAAACCCUGUUCAUGGAGCGAGGUGGGACUAAAUUUUUGGAGUAAGCUUAGCAGUAGCGGGCAUUGCCAGAAAGCACUACUGCUAUGAUCAGUAGCAGUAGCGCUCUUUGUAUUAAGGCGCUGCUGCUAUAACUAGCUUGACGGUGGGGUCGUGGCAAUUAUAGCAGUAGCGCGGCUUAUCGCAGCCGCGCUACUGCUACAUUUAUUUUAGCAACGCGUUUCAUGGGCACGCGCUACUGCUACGUAGCAGCAGCGCGUUGUUUUAAAGCGCGCUACUGGUAAGAUUCUGUGUAUAUGCUUUUCCCUAGUAGGCUAGGUCAAUAUGUCAUGUAGAUGAAGAACUUGGUCGAAAGCGGGACGCCAGACUUCCACACCAGACGCCAGUGCUCGGACAUGGUGGACCCAACCUGAUGCAGCAUGUUGGUCGGCUGAUCGCCUCGCCCGCUGCGGUCUCCCGCGUGAGCCCGCCUGCGUACUUUGCUCUCAAAAGGCCGAGACCUUGCACCACAUUCUCACCGGGUGUGUCUUUGCUCGCAUCGUUUGGCAUGCCAUCCUCUCUUGGUGUUGCCCUGGUAUCGCUGCGCCGGACGGGACUUCGGGCUUCUUCGACUGGCUGCAUUCAACCCUUCUCCUUGUGUCGCCGGCCAAGCAGUUGGGGAUCUCUACGAUGGCCGCGGUUACCACUUGGGCCCUUUGGUGUCACCGCAACACCAUCAUCUUCAACAAAAUCUCACCGUCUGCCGCACAUCUCAUCGCCAAGAUCAUGGACGAUGCCUGCUCUAGGGCCUGUGCCGGAGCCAAAAGACUAAGCAAUUUUAUUUAUGUAACAUGAUUCUUUGUACUCGGGGCUGCGCAUCCCCUCUUCUUCUGCUCGCUCGGGUGUCAUGGCCGCGCCAACUUGCGUGUGCACCCAUGACGUCGCCCUGCACUUUCUCCCCUCUGUCAAUGCAAUGAUAUUCGAGAAGAAAAAGGUGAACAGGUCAUCAAAGUUUACUCCGAGCAAGUUUCAUCGAUCGAUGUGGCUACAAAAGACGGGAUUCUACAUAAUGAUCAGGCAUCGCUGUUAAAUUAUUAUCCUUGGUGAAACAUGACAAUCAAUCUAACCAGCUUCCUUGACACUUUUGUUUUCUGAAAUACCAGCAGCUACAGUGUAACACAACAUCUCAUUCAGCCCUUGCAUUCUGGGACACUUUUUUUCGCAUGGUAGGGAGCAACACUAUUACAGCUCGACGGGCACCUUUAUGGAUUUCCUUCUCUCUUUUUUUCGAAUGGUAGGGAGCAACACUAUCACGGUUUUAAUUGAUAUAACCAACACAACUGUUGGAUGUAUCACAUAUACAGCAGGCCAAGUGUUCAACGCCACACACCAAGUGAAUCCCAUCUCUAAUGCCACAACAGGUGCCUGUCGAGCUGUAAUUUCAGUAUUUCAUGGAUUCAACUAAAACUCAACCUUCAACCAACAAAGCAGUGAGGGAGGAAAGCCACCCUUAUUUUAGGUACAAAUAUUUCUACUUACCAAGAGUUAAAAGAAUCUGGUUUUGUUACAAUUGCUGAAUGACUGCUAUGUGACUUAAAUUAUCUGUUGUGACAAUUCUUACAAAAAUGGUGCCAUGCUCAGCUUCUAGUAAAGAUCCUAGAAUAUAGAUUCAACAGUCUAGUCAGGAUUCAUGUGACGGAAUGGUGGUGAAUGGAGGAACUUGUACAUACAUUAUUACCCCAGUCUUACUACAAACAUAUCCAUGAGUUAAUAAUCUUAUUACUUCUCCUCAAGAAGUCCUCUACACUUGAGCAAAAGAAGAAUAUGAAAGAACUAUAUUUUCUGGGUUUGUUUUUAUGUGCCUAAUAUGCUUGUGACUUCGCAAAUUCAGCUAAAAUUUAACCUCCAACCAAUAGAACAGCGACAUGGAAAACCACACUUAUCUUUAGAUUCAGGCCACACUUUUCUACCUACAAAACGUUCACAAAACCCGAGCGACAAAUAUUUCUAGGGAAAUUAUCUGCUGUGGUGAUUAUUGUUUUAAAAAAAGUUACCGUGCUCAGUUUCUAGUAAUGAGAAGACUCAAAAUUGAAGUUAAGUAACCUAGAAAUAAAUUAACACUCUAGUCAGGAUUCAGGUAGGUAAAUGUUGAACUAUACACAAUUAAAACAUACUGGGAAGCAUAGCUACUUGAGUAAAGAGAACGGGGAACUUGUACGUAUAUCUGCCCUAGUCUUGCCGCAAACAUACAUAUAUCACUGAGUGAAUCAUGUUGUUCUCUUCCCCUAAAAUGCCCCUUCCCUCGAGCAAAAAAAAAGAAAGAUAAAAGAACAAUAUAUUUUCUAAGUUCAUAUAGCUGCAUAAUUCCUGACACCAUCAAUAGAAGGCCAUGUAGGAUCACAAAAGAAACUAAUAUUUCUUUACCUUAUAUGAUACAAUAUAGAAGAGAUAAUCCACAGACAAUCCUUUCAAUUCUUUCUUUCUUUCUUUGAAACGGAAUCAAUUCUUAGAAACUCAUAACAACAGAACUACCAUCGAUGAAUAACAAGCUGUACACUAAAGAUAUUUAUUUGCAUAAAUAAAUGGGAAUAAGAAGAUGAAAAUACAAACGAUCUCAAACAUAAUGCACUCCAAUAUCUUAUAUUACCACACAUCGAAAGCUAAAAAGGGGGCCAAAAUAAUUAGUACUAAAUGACAGCAAAUAGAUUAAAUGGUUAGGUGCAUUCAUACAACUAUGCAAGGCCCUUACCCUUACAAAGUCUUGGCUAACAAACAUUGUUCAAGCCACAAAAGGCAUGCACCAGAACACCAGCAGAGAAGAAUACGAAACUGGUAGACAGAGGAAUUGGAGCAUAUCUAAGCAAUGCCACGAAACUAGAAAGUAGGCCCGUACCAACCACUAAUUUUUACAAAGGUAUUGUGCCCUGUUGAGUUCCAGAUGCUGCACUGAGUCUCAGUGACCAGCUGAUGGCAGUUCCGCAAAACAGGGAGUAUAAGGUAGCCCAAUCAUGAACUCAUCGCAGAUAACAUGUACUUUCUGAUUAUCCAUAUCGUAUGACACUGUCUUCUUCUUCUGGUUGGUAAGGAAAAUGACAUUACAAUCUGGAUGAAUUGCAAACAUCUGAUAAAAAUCACCAUCUUUGCGACAAUGCCUUCCGAACAGCUCUGAAACAUUAACAGUAUGCUUUAGGGUCCACUUUCCAGUACCAUAGUCCUCAAGAACCCAAAUAUCGAGUUCACUAUCAUCACAAUAAUCCACCUGCCACGCAUACAAACGCCCUUGAGAUUGCCCAGUCAAAACAAUAUUACAGCUCGUCCAGUCAACUGGCAUUUGAAUCUCCUUCCAAACUUUCCCCUCCACGUCAACUGUGGGUAUUAUUGAAUUACAAAGGGUGGCCAAAUGCAUGGUGCCAUUCAAGAAGACAUGUGUGCGUCUACUACAAUCCACAUGAGUUACGGAGGACCACUUAGUCUGCACGUAAGUCCACUGUCCAGUUUUUGAUGAGUAGAUCGCCAUUUGUCCAGGAAGGUGGUCAGCAUUGUAAGGGGUUGCAAACACCAUAAAGCGGGUUGGGACAGCGGCUUCGAAACCUAAGUAAGUCAUUGGUAUGCCUUUCUUCCAUGGGUGGCUGCACUCUUGAGCCGGAAAUACUACAGGAGGCAGCACAGUCCACUCUUGAGUCGCGGGAUUGCACACAACAUAAUCAUUUUCACACGCAGAACACGAAUUCCAGCAGCUGCAAAGGAGAAGACCUUCGCACAAUUGUUCGACAUGAACGUUUUCGUACCUCUGCCGCAAGAAAGGGAGAGAAGGGUCGACCAGAGGCAGACCUCUCCCGGACAAAUUGCGGAAUUUGAGGACACCGGCGUUCUUGUAGAAGAAGCCGGAGAGGGUCUGUGGCGACCUCUUGAGGAUGUCCCGGGCGGAGCAGAGGACGAGCCACGGCUUGGACACGCACUUGAAGCGGCAGAGGGACCUGUAGGGCACUCGCGAAAGGAUCUCGACGAGGGCGCCCUCGGGGAGGCUCGGCACGGGCUGCUGCUCCAGCUUCUGCUUCUUCUCCUGUCAAUGAUACAAACGGUUCGUUCAGGUUCCCGAUUCCUUUCCUUUCUUGGAUCGAAGAUGGGGGCACACUAGAAGAUUGGAAGGCCUUGUAAAAAAAGAAGAGGGACUUGGAGCAAACCUUGGAAGCUACUGCAGAAAUGGUGGGGAGCUGCGGCGUGUCCUCCUCGCGGUGGACGGUCGCCGGUGGGUGGCUCUGCACCGUGCUGCUGCCAUGCUCGUCUCCUUCUUCUCCUCCUCCUCCUGGCGGCAUCGCCUCCUGCCCGGCCCGCGGAUCCGUGCCUCGAGGCAGUCGACUCGACGGUUGCGACGCCGGCCGCCGCUGCUCGCCGGGGCUAGGGCUCGGGAUGGGGAAUGGGGCGGCGGCUGAUUUGGGAACGUGAGUAACUAACCCGGUGAGAGUGUGUACUCCGUCAUAACGGGCUCGUGGAUUAGUACCAUCAGCAGGUGGCCAUGUAAAAACGGCCCAAUGGAUCAUGGUAGUUUCUCAGACCUCUCGCCUUGUUUCCGAGGAAAAAAGAAACUCCCCUGGGUUUUUUUAUACAUACAUGCACAGUAGUGUAAACGAUAUCUGCAUCAGGGGAAUGUACAUAGCGGUUUUUGUAUGUGUUGGUACUAGUAUAUUCUGAAUUAUUACCUUCUUGCACCUGUUAGUCUUCGAAGCAAUUCCCAAGAUACUCCAUACUGACAUUGAUCUUUGCUAGAUGAAUUAACAGCACUUGUUUUUGACUAAAAAGCAGCAGGGUACUAAUUUUCGUUGAUAGAGGAGUGAAAAUACAAAUGGUGUAUCCGGUAGCAAGAACAAAAAAAGGACUGGUGCGGCACCAAAAGCCAUACAAUAUACACCGGCUCGAGCAAGAAUUAAGGGCAGCUCGAAGAAUGAAGCCAUCAACGCUAAGGGCAACUCUAGCCGAGGAGUUACGCUGGACAUAGCCAAACCCUUAUUUGGUUUAGCUGCUUAAAAAUUGUAGGAGAUGCGUCAUUCNNNNNNNNNNNNNNNNNNNNNNNNNNNNNNNNNNNNNNNNNNNNNNNNNNNNNNNNNNNNNNNNNNNNNNNNNNNNNNNNNNNNNNNNNNNNNNNNNNNNNNNNNNNNNNNNNNNNNNNNNNNNNNNNNNNNNNNNNNNNNNNNNNNNNNNNNNNNNNNNNNNNNNNNNNNNNNNNNNNNNNNNNNNNNNNNNNNNNNNNNNNNNNNNNNNNNNNNNNNNNNNNNNNNNNNNNNNNNNNNNNNNNNNNNNNNNNNNNNNNNNNNNNNNNNNNNNNNNNNNNNNNNNNNNNNNNNNNNNNNNNNNNNUCACUUGUUGAAUGGACCCAUAUCACUGCUGUCAUCGCCUAGCUCUCGUGGAUGAAAAAGCAUCGAGCUUAGUUUCGUCCAAAACAAAGUCGACAGACAAUCAAAGAUGUCAGAGAGCACCCGCGGAGGCGCUAGACGGCCACGGAAUCGCGGCCACACCGGUAAAAUUCUGAAGAUCACAGUUCGGUUGUGGCGAGCUUGGUCGGCGACCGACAAACACGGUCUUAGGAGAAUCUUCCUCUUCGGGAGGCCGCAUGCCGUGUCCCAGCCCUACCGUUGACCCGUAGCCUCGACGUCAACUCAAUGCCGCCGGCGGAUCGAGGCUCUCACCUCCUCUAGCCAUAAAGUGUUCGACGAAUUACAUAGGUAAGAUUUUUGGCUUUUCCAUUGUGUUUUUUGCGGUGAAAUUCAAUAUAAAAUAUUGGGUAGUGUAGAUGAAGAGGUUAAGAGAGAUGUUCUUCGACGACUCUUCGUCCGAGGACGAGGUAGAAGAUGAUGAUGGUUUUGAAAUGGACAAUAUCGUGAUCGUCAACUAGGACAUUAGGCGACCAAGACUAGGAUCACAGUUUGGCCGCUUGUACAUCAAUCGGGGCAGAGAAGAGGCCCAUGAGAAGAUUAUGAAGGAUUAUUUCGGACCCAAUGCAACCUAUCCGGAGAAGUAUUUUCCGCAACAUUUUCGGAUGCACCGAAGUAUCUCCCCGACCAUUGCAAAACUUGUGUGAGGAGCAUGAUCCAUAUUUGUCACUACCUUGUAGAUGGCAUCUAUCCUCGAUGGCCCAUAUUUUGUGAAGACAAUCCCACGUCCUCAAGGAAACCAGAGAUCCCACUUUGCAAAUGCAACAAGAGUAGAGAAGAAAGAAUGUUGAGACAGCUUUUGGUUUGCUUCAAAAGCUCUUUGACAUUGUUCAUGCCCAUGCCAAGUAUUGGAACCCACAUGUCCUAUUGCAAAUAAUGGCAUGUUGCGUCAACCGUGAAGUUCAUACCCAGCUCUAAGAUGAUCUUGUUGAGCACUUGUGGGCACUUCAUAGCAGUUGAUUGUUGUGAUUCUAUCAUGCUCUUUAUCUACUUCAUUUGGACCCUGUCGUAAGUUUGAAUUUGAAUAAUUAAACUUGUAAACUUUGAAUCCGUAAUCUUUAUGAAUUGUGUGAACCUUAAUUAUUAAGUUUGGAUUUAAUAUGUUUGCAAAUAUGUUGUUGAAAUGGAGUAUGUAAAUCAAAAUUUAGAAAAUUGGCGAAGAUCUUUUUUUUAGGGAUGUAGGUUUUAGAAGUUCGGAUAGGAACCGUUUUUAUCUAACUCUUCAAAAUUGAGGAGUUGAGGGUUGAGGGGGUGUUUAAGGGGCUAAAAAUAGGCGGCUACUCCAAUUUGGCUGACCGAUCUAGCACUAAAUUGGUCGCGCACCACCCGUUGGAUCAAGCCGUGGUGCGUCGCUGGAUCAAAAUUCAGACGGAUUUACUCUUUUCUUUAGUUGUCGCGAAGCUAACCUGAUCUGCAGACAUAUCACAAACACAUGUCAAUUUUCAAUUAAGCUGGCUUUGCUCUUUUCUUUAGUUGUCGUGAAAUUAACCUAAUCUGCAAACAUAUCACAAACACAUGUCAAUUUUCAAUUAAGCGGCCGACGUCGACAACGCGUCAUACUACGCAAUAGCUGUCUGAAUUUCUCUGGGUAUUUCUUGCACUUGGAGUGCAACUGUAUCAAAUAGUAUGUGUAGGUGGCAUUCCAUGUCUAAGUCAAAGUUCAGCACGAAUAAGUUUGCUGAAUCGAUGCGUUUGGAACGACACAAGAAGGCUCACCUUGUGGAUCUGACGUCAGUUAAAUUAGUCGCGACGCCUAGCAAUCAGAUGGAUCAGCAAAUACGCCUACAGAAGACUGCACCCGCGACGACAGAUACGUCGAUCUCCGGCCACCAUACAACCACACUGCUACAGCGUGGUUAUCAUCUUAACACUUUUUUGGAAAAAAAAAAUCAUGAGAUCAAAAUGUGAUGGCCAAUUUUCAGUUCCAACGCCUACAGUGUCGCGUCCAACACAACACAACAUCUCAUGCAGUUCUCAGCAUGGCCCGCUGAUAAAUAAGGCUAUCCAACAACUUUUCCUAAGAUUUGAGGUGAAGGUUGUAAUGGAAUCCCAUCUCUAAAUGAUCUUAUAUUUAGUGUCAAAAAUGAUCUUAUAUUUUGGGACGGAAGAAGUACAUUCAGCAAAAACUAAACCUUCAACAAACAAAGCAAUGACAGGAAAACCACCAUUAUCCUUUUGAGUAUAUAAUAAAAGGGUCGUCCUCAACUUCUAGUAAAGAGCAGGACCGAAAAUCAAAGUUGGGCAACCUAGAACACAAAUUUGACAAUCUAGUUAGGAUUCAUGUAAGGGAAUGGCGAGCUCUAUCGGAACCAAAAUUAAUGACACAUGUAUUGAGAACCAGUAUUAUUUAGUGUACUAAAUUCAGCAUUUUUUUGAAAAGAGGGGACUCCCCGCCCUCUGCAUCAGAACGAUGCAUACGGCCAACUUAUUAAAAAAAUAGGUUUAACAAGGUCUUAAAGUCUCAAUUGAAAAUAAAGAAGAGCUCACAAAGAGCCAAAAGAACCAAAAACAAACUAGCCACAAAAAGCCACAACCCGCUGACAUAAGAGAGAUAGGUAAACUAAUUGCCCAUCCUAUUACAUGACCGCCAUCCAAACCGGUUGAAGAUCCCGUGCUACCAUCUCCCAGCGGAUAGAUCCAGUAACCAAAUGCUCCCUGGCCUCCGUCGGAGUGAGUAGCGACCACAUACGGAUCAACGCAGUGACUCGGAAAAUAACCUGCAAAAAAUGAAUAUUUUUUGUUUUGUUAAAAAACAAAUCAUUUCUGCAGUUCCAGACUGCCCACAAUAAAGCACAAACUCCUACGCGAAUGUGUCUCGCUGUUUCGGGCUCUAUCCCGUUAAGCCACGUUCCAAAUAACGUGUUGACAGAACUCGGUGGAGUAAUAUUAAAUGCAAUAUGGACUGUCCACGAUAGAACUUUGGCUAACUGGCAAUCAAGAAAAAGGUGUUUGAUAGUUUCAUCCCGAUCACAGAAACUACACCUAGUAGGUCCUUUUCAAUUACGCUUUGCCAAAUUGUCCUUGGUUAAUAUUACUUGUUUAUGGACAACCCACAUAAACACUUUGAUUUUCAAAGGAACUUUGACAGCCCAAACAUGUUUUGAACUAGGAAUCGAGCUUGAAUUGAUAACAUCAAGAUACAUUGAUUUAACAGUAAACUCUCCAGACCUAGUAAGAUUCCAGCGUAAUUUAUCGAGCUGUUGAGAUAGCUGAACCUCCAUCAGUCUACUUACUAGAUGAAGCCAUUCUUCCCAACGAUUGCCAACUAUUGUCCUUCUGAACUGAAUAUUAAGGGGACUGGAUUGAAGUACCGUUGCAACGAACGCCUCACGUCGUUGAACAAUACGAUACAGAGACGGGUAUUGAAUGGCAAGGGGGGUCUCUCCGAGCCAAGUAUCCUCCCAGAAUCGCGUGCUAGCACCGUUGCCAUUAAUAAACUUUGUCCUAUUAAACAAGGUUAAUUUGACUUUCAUAAGCCCUUUCCAAAAAGGUGAGUCAGUCGGCCUUGCUGUCACCUGGGACAAAGUUUUGGAGUGAAGAUACUUGCUACGGAGGAUCUGCGUCCAAGUGGCAUCAGUCUCUACCGAUAACUUCCACAGCCACUUGCUAAGAAGACAUCUGUUCUUGACCUCAAGAUUCUCAAUACCAAGACCCCCUUGGUCUUUCGGUCGACAGAUGAUAUCCCAUUUGGCGAGUCUGUAUUUUCUUUUUAGUUCAUCGCUCUGCCAGAAGAACCGUGAUCGAUAGAAGUCCAGUCUUUUCCUAACUCCAACUGGGACUUCGAAGAACGACAAAAGAAACAUAGGCAUACUCGUGAGAAUCGAGUUUAUCAGAAUUAAUCGGCCUCCGUAUGACAUGAGCUUGCCCUUCCAGCAACUCAGUUUCUUUUCAAAGCGGUCCUCGAUGCACUUUCAUUCUUUGUUUGUAAGCUUACAAUGGUGGAUUGGUAUAUCUAGAUAUGUAAAAGGUAAAGUUCCCAAUUCGCACCCAAACAAUUGCCUAUAUGCCUCUUGUUCGUCAUUGGCUCUAAUUGCACGUUCAAUCAACAAAGCAGUGACAGGAAAACCACCUUUAUCCUUAUUACUAUUACAAACAAAAAAAAGUUGCCGUGCUCAACCUCAACAACUAAGGAGCAGGACCCAAAUCAAAUGAACAACUUAGAACAGAAAUUUAACAGUCUAUUUAGGAUUCAUCCAAGGGAAUGGCGAGCUAUAUCAAAACCAGAAUUAAGAGUGCACAAGUACUUUAGUGAUGAAUGGUGAACCUGUAUGUAUGUUAGGGCAUCUCCAGCCGUUGGCCCCCCCAGGGGGCGUCUAAAAGCGCCGCCUGGGGGUGAGACGGCGCAAAAAAUAGCCCUGGGGGCGAGUCGGUCCCCAGCCGUCGGCCCCCAAGGCCGCCCCCAGGCGCGUAUUUAGAAAAAGACCGUUCGGCAAAGUUAUGAUAAAAACUAGUUAAAUUUCGGCCAAACAUGGCAAAUUUCGGUGAAAUUCGCGCAUUUUCAUUACAUUAACCUAAUCUAAAAAAAGAAAAGGGCUGAAGUCGUCGCCGCCGUCGCCGCCAUCGUCGUCGUCGGCCUUCUCCUCCUUGACGCGGGCGCCCCUACUGGACCCCUGCCCGGCGUCACCAUGGCGGACUGGCGGCGGCGCGUCGUCGUCGUCGUCGCUGUCGCAUAAGACGACGACCCCGUCUUCAACGCGGCCGCGUCGGCGCUCCUCCAAGUGGCGCAGGAUGGCGCGCUGGCGUUCCUUCUCCUUCUCCUUCUCCCGGCGCGCCUUCUCCAUCGCAAUGGAGUCCUGGCGCGCCCAUUAUAGGGUCGCGUCGUCGUCGUCGAACUCCGCCUCCAUCGGCGCCAGCCCCGGCUCCGUCUUCACCGGCGCCAGCCCCGGCUCCAUCUUCGGCUUGACGAAGCGCGGAGGAGCCGACGAGGAGGGGGCGCGCCGGCCGCCCUCGUUGAUGACGAUGCCGACGCUGCGAGUGCGCCGGCCGAUUGGCAUCUCCGCCGCGGGCUCGGCCUUGACGCCGAGAAGCGCCGGAGAACCGGAGGAGUGGGAAGAUGAGCGAGAGGAGGAAGAUGAGGAGGAGGCGAACCUCCUUGGCGCCCAUGCGCGUCGGUGUUGUGACGGGGCGGCCCCCGUCGCAGGUUAGGUCAACGGCGGUUUGUUGCCGCCGUCGAGGUGCGUCAGCACGCCCUCCAGCGUGCGGCCCAGGACGCCCCAUCACAGGUGGCGCCCCACACUGUUCUUCAUGCCGCCGACCACCGGCGCGUCGUUGGUGGAGACCAGGCGCUGCUGUUGGCGGCGCUGGAAGUACGCCGCCCAAGCCGCGUGAUUGCCGGUGGCGUACUGGGGGAGGGAGCGCUCGUCGUCGGUCAGGGAGGCGCGCGCGACCUUGACCUCCUCGGCGAAGUACGUGGGCUUCGCCACGGCGUCGGGUAACGGGGGAACAUGCACUCCCCCGUCGCUGAGCCGCCACCCCGUCGGCCCGGCGCGCAUGUCCGGCGGCGCCGGGGUGUUUGCCUGGAACAGGAGCCAGGACUCCUGUCCGCGGAGCGAACACCGGCCGAAGCCGUUCGCCGCCGCCUCGUCUCCGGGGAAGCGCUCUGCCACGGCGACGGGCUCGGCGGUGGUAGAGAGGGAGAGAGAGGGGCUGCCGGUGCCGCUCGGGAGAGGAAGACGGAGACGGAGAGAGAGGGGCUGGGCGGCGGCGAGGGGCGAGUCUGGUGUGGGCACCGGCGAGAACCGCCGGCUUUUAUAGCCGCUCCGCGCCCGUGUGUACGCGUGCGAGGGAGGGGAGGCGUCGGCGCGCCGUCCCGAGACGCGCCGCCCGUGUGGAAUCAAUGGCAAGGCUGACCGGCGGUAGCCUUGCCAUUGAUUCCAGCAGGAACCGAGGCAGUUGUGGGGAAGACGAGCCGCCGUGUCCCUGACGCGGCUGGCCCGCGGCUUUUUCGCGCCAAAACAGUUCGCCCUGGCGCCCCCGGGCGCCCCCCAGCGUGCCGGGUUCGGCCUGGGUCCGCCGGCGUUGUUUUCGGCCCAGGCCGGCGAAAAUCGGGCUCCUGAGACACGACUGGGCCGUUUUUUCGGCGCCGGCGCAAAAAAAAAACGUCUGGAAGACAUUUCUGGAGGCGCGGCUGGAGAUGCCCUUAUCACCCCGGUCUUACUACAGACAUAUAAGUAUCAAUGAGUGAAUCACGUUGUUUGCUGCCCCUCAAAAGAUCCUCUUUCCCGAGCAAAAAAGAAGAUGAAUUGACUGUCUUCCAGGUUUGUUUAGCUGCACAUUUCUCGACACCAUCAAUGGAAGUCCAUGCGGGUAACAUACAAGAAACUAAUAUUUCUUUACCAUGCCUCUACCCCUAUAUGCUGCGAUAUAAAAGAGACGAUCCACAAACAAACAUACCAAAUCUUACAAAUGCAUAAAAGCAGAGGUAGCAUCGAUGGAUAACAAGUUGCUAUACGUUGAGAAGAAAUGAUCCACAGAUAAUCACAUCAAAUCUUUAAAAUGCAUUAAAAAGGAGCAUCGAUGGAUAGCAAACUGUAGACUGGAGAUAUUUACUUGCAUAAAACAAACGGAAAUAAAGAGGUGACAAUAACACAGAUAAUGUAGUCUCAAUAUCUUAUAUUACCCACAUCAGGGGCUAGCGAGUGGCCAUAAUAAUUAGUGCUACAUGACAGCAAAUAGAUUAAAUAGCUAGGUGGAUUCUUACAACUAAGCAGUACCAUUAGCCUUACAAAGUCUUGGCUAAUAAACAUCGUUCAAAGCAACGAUGGCAUGCACCUGAACACAAGACUGUUCACAUAGGAGUUGGGACUUCUCCACGCAAUGCCACAAAAUCAGGAGAGUAGGUACAUAGCAACAAACUAAGUUUCGCAAAAGGUGCUGUCCCAUUAUAGGCACAUGAUGUAGCACUGAAUCUCAGUGACCAGCUGAGGGCAAUUCCGCAAAACAGGGAAUAUAAGGCAGACCAUUCAUGCCUUCAGUGCAGAUAACAUGCACUUUCUGAUUAUCCAUGUCAUACGACAAUGUCAAGUUUUUCUUGUCAGUAAGAAAAAUCAUGUUGCAAUCCGGAUGAAUUGCAAACAUCACAUAAGAAUCUCCAUCUUUACGGCAAUUCCUUCCAAACAGCUCCAAAACGUUAACAGUAUGCUUUAGGGUCCACUUUCCAGCAUCAUAAUCCUCGAGGACCCAAAUAUUGAGUUGGCAAUCACGAGAAUUAUCUAUCCACCAGGCAUACAAGCGUCCUUGUAAAAAGGCCCUUACUUCCAAAGCUGCAAGGGAGUGCGACAAGGGGACCCGCAUUCACCUUUCUUAUUCAAUAUGGUUGUGGAAGCCUUAUCCAAAAUGAUCCUGAAAGCUCAAAGAGAGAAAUUGAUAACAGGUCUGGCUCCGGACCUGAUUGAUGGGGGGUAGCUAUCCUCCAAUAUGCAGACGAUACGGUUGUGUGUUUUGAGCAUGAUAAAGAUGUUGCGGUUAAUCUGAAACUCUUACUUUAUUUGUUUGAGCUUAUGUCAGGGCUUAAGAUUAAUUUUCUGAAAAGUGAAAUUUUGUGUGUUGGAGGGGAUGAUGAGGUUCUUGCGUUUCAUUCAAAACUCUUCAAUUGUCAAAUUGGCCACUUCCCUAUGAAGUAUUUAGGGGUGCCUGUGAGCUAUUCUACCCUCCGUGCGAUUGACUGGGAUUUUUUUGAUGACAAAUUCCUCAAGUGCUGUGAAUCCUGGAUUGGUAAUGCAGCCUCCUUAGGAGGAAGAUUGACUCUUCUCAACUCGUCCCUUACGAGCAUUGUUUUCUUUUACAUGUCUAUUUUUAUGCUUUCUAAGAAGAAUAUUGAGAAGCUAGAUAAACAUAGGAAAAAGUUCUUUUGGCAAGAGACUGACGGUCGGAGAAGAUAUCACUUGGUUAGAUGGUCUAGGAUCUGCAGAUCCAAGAAUAAAGGGGGUUUGUGUUGGAAAUAUGCCCUAGAGGCAAUAAUAAAUUAGUUAUUAUUAUAUUUCCUUGUUCAUGAUAAUCGUUUAUUAUCCAUGCUAGAAUUGUAUUGAUAGGAAACUCAGAUACAUGUGUGGAUACAUAGACAACACCAUGUCCCUAGUAAGCCUCUAGUUGACUAGCUCGUUGAUCAAUAGAUGGUUACGGUUUCCUGACCAUGGACAUUGGAUGUCAUUGAUAACGGGAUCACAUCAUUAGAAGAAUGAUGUGAUGGACAAGACCCAAUCCUAAGCCUAGCACAAAGAUCGUGUAGUUCGUAUGCUAAAGCUUUUCUAAUGUCAAGUAUCAUUUCCUUAGACCAUGAGAUUGUGCAACUCCUGGAUACCAUAGGAAUACUUUGGGUGUGCCAAACGUCACAACGUAACUGGGUGGCUAUAAAGGUACACUACAGGUAUCUCCGAAGUGUCUGUUGGGUUGGCAUGAAUCGAGACUGGGAUUUGUCACUCCGUGUAAACGGAGAGGUAUCUCUGGGCCCACUCGGUAGGACAUCAUCAUAAUGUGCACAAUGUGACCAAGGAGUUGAUCACGGGAUGAUGUGUUACGGAACGAGUAAAGAGACUUGCCGGUAACGAGAUUGAAUAAGGUAUCGGGAUACCGACGAUCGAAUCUCGGGCAAGUAUCGUACCGCUAGACAAAGGGAAUUGUAUACGGGAUUGAUUAAGUCCUUGACAUCAUGGUUCAUCCAAUGAGAUCAUCGUGGAACAUGUGGGAGCCAACAUGGGUAUCCAGAUCCCGCUGUUGGUUAUUGACCGGAGAGCCAUCUUGGUCAUGUCUACAUGUCUCUCGAACCCGUAGGGUCUACACACUUAAGGUUCGAUGACGCUAGGGUUAUAAGGAAUAGAUAUACGUGGUUACCGAAUGUUGUUCGGAGUCCCGGAUGAGAACCCAGACGUCACAAGGAGUUCCGGAAUGGUCCGGAGGUAAAGAUUUAUAUAUGGGAAGUCCUGUUUUGGUCGCCGGAAAAGUUUUGGGGUUUUUCGGUAGCGUACCGGGACCACCGGGAGGGUCCCGGGGGUCCACCAAGUGGGGCCACAAGCCCCAGAGGGCUACAUGGGCCAAGUGUGGGAGGGGACCAGCCCCAUGUCACAUCCCUAGUUCUAUUAAUGCCUAGUGCUAGCAUCUGGUGUUGCAUCAUGUUUAAAUUUCAGUUAAACCUGAAAUGGGGAUUGCCUAAACCCUAGCACCAAAUGAAUUCAACUAGGUUCAAUAAAAAAAAUAUUUUCAACGAUCCCAAUUGCCCUUUAGAAAAGUUCAUGAUUUUUGUUAAAGGUGAAAACCUCUGCCAAAAGUCAUGCACAUAUUUCUAGGCCAUUCUGGAUUUUUGAACUAAAUCAUAUAGUAUUUGAAUUUGGGCAUUUAAAUACUAUAAAAUAAUUAAAAUGUUCAAAUAAUCCUAAACUGAAAUGUUCCAUGUUGGAUAUAUUCCAAACAGUGGCCAUGAGCAGUUUGGAGAUUUUUGAGUGUGCCUAAGUAUUUUUAAUAAAGCCCAGAACAAAAUAACAAAAUAGAAAAGAGAAAUAAAAUAGAAAUGGAGAGAGAGAACCUCACCUGGCCUCACUGUGCAGCCCACCUAGUCGGGCCAGCUGGCGGCCCAGCCAGCUGGCCAGCCCACCGAGGGCAGGGGCGUCUUCUUCCUCCUGCCAGAAGGCAGAGGAGAAGACAGCCACGGCGCCGCGGCGUGCCAUGCCGGCAGCUGCCUGCCUGGCUGCCCCCUCGUCGCCCUGGACUCCCUCUGCGACGCCACGCUACCCCCCUGGACCCCCUUGAUGCUCUCGCUCUCUCCCUCGCUCUCUGCUCCCUCUACCGAGCACACACGAGCGGAGCUCGUCGUCGCCGACGCAAUUUGCCGCGACCACCGCCGUCCCAACGAUGCCCCGAGCUGUUCCCGAGCUCCUCCACCUCGUCGCCAACCUCCUCACCGACUCACGCCACCAGGAGAGCCCCGAAACGACGGCCUCAACGUCAUCUCCAACCACGGCUGACCGAGAUCGCCGCCGUCAAUUCGCCGUCGCAGAAGCUUCCCCGAGCCCGCUGAGUUUCUCUCCCGACCCCUUGUGAGCUCCUGCACCUUCCCUAUGCUCGCCCCCUCUCCGUUUCUCUCCGCUAGCUCGAUUCCGCUGGAGCCGAGAGCUCAUCGCCGCCGUCCAUGGUGCCGCCGUCGUUUUAGCCACCAUAGCUCGUGCCUGAUCGCGUCAACGCGUUCGGUGCCUUCCCAGGAGCAUGCAGCUCCCACCAGCUCCUCCUCCCGAGCACCCUAACGCCGAGCCCGCACCAACCCCGAACUCCGGCCGCCGCCUUUGAGCUCGUGGCCGUCGACUCCGGCCACCCCAGGCCCGGCUACUGCCACCAGGUGACACGCUGCAACGCCAGCUACCCGUAGAGCCCAACCGCGGCUCAAACCGCAGCCUGUACACGAAACCCGAGCAACUCCGGCGAGUUGCCGCCACGGUUUUGGUCGCCGGCGACUUAACUCCGGCCGUGCCGACGUGGCACCAUCAUUAGUGGCUAAUGACGCCACUAAACUAACCCCUAGCUCACUGACGAAUGGACCCCACAGUUAAUUAACCCCGGGUUUAGUUUCCUGUUUAGAUUAGUGCUAACCCUAUGGACCCCACGUGUCAGCUUUGACGUUGGUCAAGUCAACAUUGGCCGGUCCCACUUGUCAUCCACCCAAACCAGCCUGAGACACUGACGUGUGGGUCCCAGUCAUCAGGUUUGACCUGGGCUGACGCCUUUGACCUGCUGAUGUCACGGUGACGUAAUGUUGAUGCAAUAAUUCAUUUUCUGGAAUUAGUUAAUUCUAAAUAAUUCAGAAAAUUCCAGAAAAUUGCCUAAACUUCUAAAAAUCAUAGAAAUUCAACCGUAACUCCAAAUAAAAUAAAUUAUAUAUGUAAAAUUAUCAGAAAAAUUCAAGGAAUCCAUCUGUACACUUUUCAUGCAUGUUUGAACAAUGUUUGUCCUCUGUUUUGGACAAAACAAAUACAGGGCACUUAAAUAAACAUAUAUGGAGUUGGAAUUUGAAUCUUGUAUUCAAACCAACUUCAUUUAAAUCAUAACUAGAUGCAUUAGCUCAAAUCACAGCAUAUUGCCAUGUCAUGAUCAUGCAUCAUAUUGUCGCAUAUGCAUUGAUUGUGUUCUUCUCUUUUGCCGGUGUUUGUCCCCCUUCAGUAGACGACGUUCUGACGAUGUGUUCGAUGACACUGAUGAAAAACUAUUACUAUCUUCAGAAGUGCCAGGCAAGCACAACUCGCUUGUUCAUUCUGAUACAAGCCCACUCUCUCGCUCCUGCUCUCUUUUACUGCAUUAGGACAACAACGAUCAUCUGUUACUUGUUGCGGUAGUUGAACCCCUUAUCCUCUGCAUGACCUGUCAUUGCCACAGUAAAUAGAUGAAACCCACUAGCAUGAGUAGGAGUUGUUUGAGCCCUGAUGUGCCUACUCAUUCAUGCUUGUUUGUCAUGCCUGCUACUGCUUAGAGUUGGGUCAGGUCUGAUUCAUCGGGGAUGAAUCGGAGGUGUGUAAACAUGCCCUACUGUGUGUGAGCUAAGUGUGUGAAAACGUUUUGGUAAAGGUAGCGGUGAGAGACCAUGUAGGAGUACAUGGUGGGUUGUCUCAUUGAAACCGUCCUCGGGAACUGAGUUCUGUGUCUGUGAUCCAUGAACAGCUACUACCACUCAUUGGGAUCCUUAAUUGACCCUCUCAGCUUCUUAAUCACCCUAGUACUCUGUCCAGGAGUUGCAACUAGUUUCUGGUGUUUGUAGGUUAUGUGUUGGCGGCCGUGCGUAGCGCUGACCCUAGGGGUGGGCUAUGAUGCGGUAGAUACACCAUGGCCGGGCAUGCCGGGCGCCCGUUUGGUGUCUCGGAACCCUGUACACAUCAUUCAGGGCCGUAUGUGGAAACCUCGGCCGGACUCCCUGCGGAUGGAACCUGGAUAGGCGAUAAACCUGGACUAGAGACUUGAGUGUUUAGGUAGGCCGUGGCCGACACCCUCGUUGGGCUUCCGCUUGAAGGUUGCCGAGUACAUGUCAUGUAAAUGGCGGUAAGUGGUGAGAGCGUGUGUGAAGAAGUACACCCCUGCAGGGUUAACAUCAUCUAUUCGAAUAGCCGUGUCCACGGUAAUGGACUUCUGGGUUGCCUAUAACAGUUCAUAGACAAGUGAAAAUGGAUACUCUAAAACUCGCAAGAUAAGUGUGAGUGCUAUGGAUGGCCUUCUCGUAGGGACACGGGAGCGGAUCCAUAGUGGUGUAUUGAAUGGUGAAUAUGUGGACUCGUGUGCGCCACCUCAAAAGAGUUGCUUGCAGUCGUAGUUCAGGUUAGCCACUGAGUCAAAGCUGGCUUGCUGCAGUUAAACUCCACCACCCCCCCUUUAUUGAUACUGAUGCAUAUGUAGAUAGUUCUGAUGUAAGUCUUGCUUGGUACAUUUGUACUCACGUUUGCCUAUUUUAUGUUUUGCAGAGAGACGUCAGUCUCACUAGUAGUUCCGUGUGGACUUUGACGUUAGCUUGAUACCUCAGCUACGAUCUUGUGCCCUCGGCAGGAUCUGGUAGAUAGUCAGGCUUCUCAGCCUUUUUCAUUUGUAGAUGUCUGUACUCAGACAUGUUAAGCUUCCGCUUGGGUUUUGACUUGUAUGCUCUGGAUGUUGGGCCAUGAGACCCAUGUUUGUAAUAUCUCGCUCCUCGGAGCCUGAUGAGUAAAUACUUGAGUCGUAGAGUCUUGUUGUGAUGCCAUGUUGUAUUUACACAUAUCGAGCAUAUUGUGUGUAUGAUUGAAAUGCUUGGUAUGUGUGGGAUCCGACAAUCUAGUUGUUUAUCCUUGGCAGCCUCUCUUAUGGGGAAAUGUAGUCUAGUUCUUCCAUGAGCCAUAGUAGUCCGCUACAGCCGGUUCGCCGGAGUCCUGCUAGCCCAGCACUACUGCUCAGGACACUUAACUGGCCGGCAUGUGUUUCACUUCGUUCCCGUGUCUGUCCCUUUGGGGAAAUGUCACGCGGUGACAUCCGGAGUCCUGCCUAGCCUGCUACAGCCCGGGUUACCGGAGUCCUGUUAGCCCAGUGCUACAGCCCGGAUUCACACGCUGCUGACCGACAUGCUCGAUGUGAUUCAUGUAUGUCUGUUCCCAUAGGUUGGUGCCGCUUUGGGUUCACGACUAGCCAUGUCGGCCUGGGUUCCCUGUCAUAUGGAUGCUAGCGACACUAUCAUAUACGUGAGCCAAAAGGCGCAAACGGUCCCGGCCAUGGUAAGGCGACACCCAUGGGAAUACCGUGCGUGAGGCCGUAAAGUGAUAUGAGGUGUUACCGGCUAGAUCAAUGUGACUUGGAAUCGGGGUCCUGACAGCAUUGGUAUCAGAGCCUGACUACCUGUAGGAUUACCAAGCCAAACUGGUCGAAGUCGAGUCUAGAAAUGCUUUAGUUAUGUAAGGGAAUUGAUUGUGGAAGGGAACGUAAGGUUCUUUUUACUCCUUUACCCUAUGCCCUUCUGAUCUGAGUCAACCUCUUCUUUUCUACGGGGAUUAAGAAUUAGGCCUUCUCAUCUAUCUAUCAGGAUGAUGUGCUACUAAUCCAUAGACUUAUAUAAUUGAUAGUUUCAAGCUUCAGUUCCGUUCCUACUACUUCCGUAUGUUGACAGUUGAUCUCAGAACCUUGAUAUUGUGUUGUUGAGUGGUUAUGCCACCAUUUUGCAGGAUGUCUCAAAUCAUUUUGAGCAUUUACAAUCUUUAUGCUGUCCGAGUCAUCCCAGGUUUCUAACUAGUCUGAUGCAUUUGCAAAUUCCUUCUUCCGUUACCGACGUUCCUUUGGGCCAGUUUAUCCACACUAAUCGGUGAGUUGAGGUACUCUGUUGCCUCGACAUAUAUGUUGGAGCUAUUAUUAUGACCCUAGGUGUUGUAGGGAGUCACCUAGUAAUCUAGCCAUGUUUUGUGUUCCCGGUGUGAUAAUUCUGACCACCAUUCUCGAAAGCAUCCCGUGAUGCCAUUUAGUGGUAGGUAUUCUAUUCAUGGGUUCUUGAACCCGAGAUUCCUCCUACUUAUCUCAUGUUGAUAGUGUUGCUAGUUCCUUUAGGAUAUUAGUAACCUUUGCGAUAGUCCUCGAGGUCCGUGGUAUUUCCUCCUUCCAAAUACUAUGAACCACUUAUGGCAGAAGUUUGUUGGAUCAAAAGAUCACAACCAGAGUGCUCUUGAUGAGUUCUCCAUUCUGCAUUGUGAAUCUGCCAGUCCUACCUUUCUUCAUGGGUUAUCCGGAAGAAAUAACAUGCUAAUCCAUGCAUCCAUACCUCAGAAAAAUUAUAUGUUCCUUUGAGUUGUUCCUCUUUAGUUGUAUUCUGAACCUCGUCCAUCAAUUGUUGGUCAAGAGUAGUUGUGCAUUGGUGUUAUCGAUGCCUAUUAUUCAUGUGAUCCGUCAAGCCAUUCCAUUCCGGAAUGACUAGGAGAAACAAACUCCAGUACCUCAUCCAUAUCCAGGAUUGGGUCAAAGCAGUUGUAUUCCGCGGAUCAAAGUGACAAUCCAGCUUUUGAUUCUGUUCAACCCUUAAGUAUUGCCCACUUUAUGUCAGGAAUAUCAUAGGAAUUGCACAACCUCCUAUGAACUCUUGAUACAGUGAUACUUCUCACCGUCAUUAUUCAUUCCUCGGUUCCGUGUUGUUGUAACCGGGAUGCCGACAAGUGAAUUGUGAUGUGUGAAAUCAAUACUCCAAGAAACUCGUUGCUUUGUAGUAAUGGACAAUAUUCUUAUUCCUAGCGUGUUGGUUUUUGAGCUACCAUUCUAAGAUUGACCGUGCUACCUAGUCCAUAUCUCCGGGUGCACUCAUCGACCAAUGAGUUAGGAUUGUGACAAUCCCUCGCUCCUUGAUCAUAUCGUCUUGCCCUGAAAAGCAAGAUUGUUCUCGAGCUUAAUAACAUAUCAGUGGUUCAUGAUUUUCCGAAUAUUUUCUCGGAAGUAUUACUAGGUUGUUCCCUGAUCGCUAUGUUGAGUUCGUGAUCAUGCUGGUUUUUCUCUAAACCAUCCAUUCUCCAAGAAUCUGUGUUGGAUACCCCCGAGCUAGAUGGUUAAGCUAAACAACAACUUGGAGAUUUGGAAGAUAAAAGGCUUUGCCGAAUUUGGUUCUUUCUGAAGGGAUAUCUUUGUGUUGUGGGUGUGUUGAAGAAAGAUGAUAUCUUCACCAAUUGGUCCUCGUGAUCAGUUGUUGGAUCUGUUAUCUUGUCAAAACUUUGACUUGAGUAUGGGCUAUUGUCGAGUCAAAUCAGAACCAACGAUGUUCGUAGUGUUGUCUUACUCGUGGUUGAUCCCUCGAGAAUACACCAUUACAUCUUUUGGUCUGACCAAUGCUAUCACCGUGUUCACAUGAUGGUGGAAGUCCAGUGAUAUGGAAAUUCCGAUGAGUUGUUAUUGAGCCCAUCAGCAACAUUUUGUCUCCUCCAUGAUUCGUGUUGAACAUCCAGCUAGUGUUGGAAAUUUUGUAAGCAUUAUCUUCGUGAUCCGUUCAUGAAGCCUGUGCUUGGAUGAAAGGAGUGACUUCCUUUGAUUCACGUCCAUUAGAUGUAAGUUGUCGCCGUGAAUUCAAGAAAGCUUGUUUUUGUUUCCUCUAGAAUCAUCCCAAAUCAGUCAUGCAUACGUGCGAAGUAUUCUAUGGUUUGGUAGAUUGAUUACCUCCACUCCAUAUGUAUUCCCUAGCACACCAAGCCACUAAUUGAUUUGUUCAAGGAGAAGAAGUUCCUUCCUAAGAGCAAGACUUAUGUAAGGACUUCGAUAUCCUUGAUGAUGGUUCCCCACCGAACUCGGUAGUGUUUUACUGUAAGACUACUACGUGGUCAUGCUUGUCUUGGACAACGGGUUCACAGGUUUGUAGUAGAACCAGCUCAUGUUUUGGAGCUUAUUAUCGUAGUUCAUUCCCCGAGAAUCUCGCAACGUCAUCUCAUCGAUUUGUGUUGCAAACCUUCAUUUUCCUUUCUAGACUCGAUGAGUCUGGAAUAUCCUGUCACCAACCAGAUCUGAAUCUCAGGCAGAUAUGAUGGUUGGAGCAUUUCCCAAGAACUAUAAUAUUGGUCCCUCAAUAACCGGUAAAGUGGAUGUCAUGGCCAACACAUCCAGCCGGAAGGCCUAUUAUUGUAGUAUCUCGAUUGAAGAAAGUUUGCCACCUCCCCAUGAGGAUUUCGUAGGAUUUACCUCCGUAGUUAAUCCUUACGGAUUCUUGUGCUCCCGAAGUCCGACCUUUACUUGAUGUCCUAGAUACCAAACCGUAUCAAUAAAUGGGUUAUCCUAGCACAUCAAGGAAAACAUUUGAAGCGGAGUGCUAAAUGUCUCUCGGUCGAUCAUCCAGAUUUUGUUUCCUUGGCCUCACUAAGGUGAAAUCUGAGAAAGUGUUAUCUUCCUUUGCAUCUGCAUUAUCCAUCACCAUUCAUCAUGGUGGUAUGUUGUGUUGCCAGGAUCCUUGACAUGGAUAUUGGUAAAACCUUGAUGAAUAUGGAGAUGCUCAAGUUCUUGAGAGCACGCGCAAGCACUAGGUUUUAUCGUUGGCAUUAACUGGGAUUUGCUUCAUGUUUCCUCGGUUAUGUUAUAACCUUUUCAAACAGUGGACUCACUCUAGACUGUUGAGCUCUCCCCAGUUACUAGAAUCAUUCCUAGCAUUUGCAUUUUGUUCCCAGCUUGCACCGCCAUUGUGUCAUCCUACUACGGACUACCCUUCUCAGUAAUUACUGAUCAGGAUCAACUUCAAAGUGGUCCUACCACAAGUUCCAUCCAUCUCCGAUGAUAAGCAAAAAUCAUCCAUUGUGUUGUCUUCAACAAGGUAGUCCACAUCAUCCAUCCUAGUCCAAGUAUGCCAUCUCUUCAAGCUACCUCAAACGAUCAAUUGUAAAUUGCCUUAAGCUGGUAUGAAGAGUUUCAAUGAUCUCUGAAUCAAAAGUAAUUCUUUUUGCCACUUAAGGGAAUAUUUCUGCGAGUCACUUUCCUUAAGAUGUCUCGUUAUGGUAUCAUGGCAAUUUCCCUCGCUACUUUGAAACCCUCGUCAAAUUGUUUCUUCUAUCGCUCUUGAUGCAAGUUUUGCCUCUCAGCUCCAGAGAUGUUCCUAUGUCUCACUCCAUGAGUUGAUCCUGAGUUGUUCGAUCUUCGAGAAGAUCGAUCCUUCUAGAGUUUUCCCUUCCCUCUCGUUGUCAUGUUGGUUGGAGUUCUCAGAGCAAGACAUCGAGACAAUGAUGGUGAUCGAAUCAACAACCUUAUGAGAUGCAACCUGGAUCAUCAAGAUUAUGUUAGCUUGUGUUUCCCCUUCAUCUUACCUCACGUCUUGAAUCUCGGGCCGAGCUUCUUGUUUAGAGGGGGUGAGUUGUCACAUCCCUAGUUCUAUUAAUGCCUAGUGCUAGCAUCUGGUGUUGCAUCAUGUUUAAAUUUCAGUUAAACCUGAAAUGGGGAUUGCCUAAACCCUAGCACCAAAUGAAUUCAACUAGGUUCAAUAAAAAAAUAUUUUCAAUGAUCCCAAUUGCCCUUUAGAAAAGUUCAUGAUUUUUGUUAAAGGUGAAAACCUCUGCCAAAAGUCAUGCACAUAUUUCUAGGCCAUUCUGGAUUUUUGAACUAAAUCAUAUAGUAUUUGAAUUUGGGCAUUCAAAUACUAUAAAAUAAUUAAAAUGUUCAAAUAAUCCUAAACUGAAAUGUUCCAUGUUGGAUAUAUUCCAAACAGUGGCCAUGAGCAGUUUGGAGAUUUUUGAGUGUGCCUAAGUAUUUUUAAUAAAGCCCAGAACAAAAUAACAAAAUAGAAAAUAGAAAUAAAAUAGAAAUGGAGAGAGAGAACCUCACCUGGCCUCACUGUGCAGCCCACCUAGUCGGCCCAGCUGGCGGCCCAGCCAGCUGGCCAGCCCACCGAGGACAGGGGCGUCUUCUUCCUCCUGCCAGAAGGAAGAGGAGAAGACAGCCACGGCGCCGCGGCGUGCCACGCCGGCAGCUGCCUGCCUGGCUGCCCCCUCGUCGCCCUGGACUCCCUCUGCGACGCCACGCUACCCCCUGGACCCCCUUGACGCUCUCGCUCUCUCCCUCGCUCUCUGCUCCCUCUCCCAAGCACACCCGAGCGGAGCUCGUCAUUGCUGACGCAAUUUGCCGCGACCACCGCCGUCCCAAUGAUGCCCCGAGCUGUUCCCGAGCUCCUGCACCUCGUCGCCAACCUCCUCACCGACUCAUGCCACCAGGAGAGCCCCGAAGCGACGGCCUCAACGUCAUCUCCAACCACGGCUGACCGAGAUCGCCGCCGUCAAUUCGCCGUCGCAGAAGCUUCCCCGAGCCCGCUGAGUUUCUCUCCCGACCCCUUGUGAGCUCCUGCACCUUCCCUAUGCUCGCCCCCUCUCUGUUUCCCUCUGCUAGCUCGAUUCCGCUGGAGCCGAGAGCUCAUCGCCACCGUCCAUGGUGCCGCCAUCGUUUUAGCCACCAUAGCUCGUGCCUGAUCGCGUCAACGCGUUCGGUGCCUUCCCAGGAGCACGCAGCUCCCACCAGCUCCUCCUCCCGAGCACCCUAACGCCGAGCCCGCACCAACCCCGAACUCCGGCCGCCACCUUUGAGCUCGUGGCCGCCGACUCCGGCCACCCCAGGGCCGGCUACUGCCACCAGGCGACGCGCUGCAACGCCAGCUACCCGUAGAGCCCAACCGCGGCUCAAACCGCGGCCUGUACACGAAACCCGAGCAACUCCGGCGAGUUGCCGCCACGGUUUUGGUCGCCGGCAACUUAACUCCGGCCGUGCCGACGUGGCACCAUCAUUAGUGGCUAAUGACGCCACUAAACUAACCCCUAGCUCACUGACGAAUGGACCCCACACCUAAUUAACCCCGGGUUUAGUUUCUUGUUUAGAUUAGUGCUAACCCUAUGGACCCCACGUGUCAGCUUUGACUUUGGUCAAGUCAACGUUGGCCGGUCCCACUUGUCAUCCACCCAAACCAGCCUGAGACACUCACGUGUGGGUCCCAAUCAUCAGGUUUAACCUGGGCUGACGCCUUUGACCUGCUGAUGUCACGGUGACGUAAUGUUGACGCAAUAAUUCAUUUUCUGGAAUUAGUUAAUUCUAAAUAAUUCAGAAAAUUCCAAAAAAUUGCCUAAACUUCUAAAAAUCAUAGAAAUUCAACCGUAACUCCAAAUAAAAUAAAUUAUAUAUGUAAAAUUAUCAGAAAAAUUCAAGGAAUCCAUCUGUACCCUUUUCAUGCAUGUUUGAACAAUAUUUGUCCUCUGUUUUGGACAAAACAAAUACAAGGCAUUUAAAUAAACAUAUAUGGAGUUGGAAUUUGAAUCUUGUAUUCAAACCAACUUCAUUUAAAUCAUAACUAGAUGCAUUAGCUCAAAUCACAGCAUAUUGCCAUGUCAUGAUCAUGCAUCAUAUUGUCGCAUAUGCAUUGAUUGUGUUCUUCUCCUUUGCCGGUGUUUGUCCCCCUUCAGUAGACGACGUUCCGACGAUGUGUUCGAUGACACCGAUGAAAAGCUAUUACUAUCUUCAGAAGUGCCAGGCAAGCACAACCCCCUUGUUCAUUCUGAUACAAGCCCACUCUCUCGCUCCUGCUCUCUUUUACUGCAUUAGGACAACAACGAUCAUCUGUUACUUGUUGCGGUAGUUGAACCCCUUAUCCUCUGCAUGACCUGUCAUUGCCACAGUAAAUAGAUGAAACCCACUAGCAUGAGUAGGAGUUGUUUGACCCCUGAUGUGCCUACUCAUUCAUGCUUGUUUGUCAUGCCUGCUACUGCUUAGAGUUGGGUCAGGUCUGAUUCAUCAGGGAUGAAUCGGAGGUGUGUAAACAUGUCCUACUGUGUGUGAGCUAAGUGUGUGAACACGUUUUGGUAAAGGUAGCGGUGAGAGGCCAUGUAGGAGUACAUGGUGGGUUGUCUCAUUGAAACCAUUCUCAGGAACUGAGUUCUGUGUCUGUGAUCCAUGAACAGCUACUACCACUCAUUGGGAUCCUUGAUCGACCCUCUCGGCUUCUUAAUCACCCUAGUACUCUGUCCAGGAGUUGCAACUAGUUUUUGGUGUUUGUAGGUUAUGUGUUGGCGGCCGUGCAUAGCGCUGACCCUAGGGGUGGGCUAUGAUGUGGUAGAUACAUCGUGGCCGGGCAUGCCGGGCGCCCGUUUGGUGUCUCGGAACCCUGUACACAUCGUUCGGGGCCGUAUGUGGAAACCUCGGCCGGACUCCCUGCGGAUGGAACCUGGAUAGGCGAUAAACCUGGACUAGAGACUUGAGUGUUUAGGUAGGCCGUGGCCGACACCCUCGUUGGGCUUCCGCUUGAAGGUUGCCGAGUACAUGUCGUGUAAACGGCGGUAAGUGGUGAGAGCGUGUGUGAAGAAGUACACCCCUGCAGGGUUAACAUCAUCUAUUCGAAUAGCUGUGUCCGCGGUAAUGGACUUCUGGGUUGCCUAUAACAGUUCAUAGACAAGUGAAAAUGGAACUCUAAAACUCGCAAGAUAAGUGUGAGUGCUAUGGAUGGCCUUCUCGUAGGGAGACGGGAGCGGAUCCAUAGUGGUGUAUUGAAUGGUGAAUAUGUGGACUCGUGUGCGCCACCUCAAAAGAGUUGCUUGCAGUCGUAGUUCAGGUUAGCCACUGAGUCAAAGCUGGCUUGCUGUAGUUAAACUCCACCACCCCCCUUUAUUGAUACCGAUGCAUAUGUAGAUAGUUCUGAUGUAAGUCUUGCUGGGUACAUUUGUACUCACGUUUGCCUAUUUUAUGUUUUGCAGAGAGACGUCAGUCUCGCUAGUAGUUCCGUGUGGACUUCGACGUUAGCUUGAUACCUCAGCUACGAUCUUGUGCCCUCGGCAGGAUCUGGUAGAUAGUCAGGCUUCUCAGCCUUUUUCAUUUGUAGAUGUCUGUACUCAGACAUGUUAAGCUUCCGCUUGUGUUUUGACUUGUAUGCUCUGGAUGUUGGGCCAUGAGACCCAUGUUUGUAAUAUCUCGCUCCUCGGAGCCUGAUGAGUAAAUACUUGAGUCGUAGAGUCUUGUUGUGAUGCCAUGUUGUAUUUACACAUAUCGAGCAUAUUGUGUGUAUGAUUGAAAUGCUUGGUAUGUGUGGGAUCCGACAAUCUAGUUGUUUAUCCUUGGCAGCCUCUCUUAUGGGGAAAUGUAGUCUAGUGCUUCCAUGAGCCAUAGUAGUCCGCUACAGCCCAGUUCACCGGAGUCCUUCUAGCCCAGCACUACUGCUCAGGACACUUGACUAGCCGGCAUGUGUUUCACUUCGUUCCUGUGUCUGUCCCUUUGGGGAAAUGUCACGCGGUGACAUCCGGAGUCCUGCCUAGCCUGCUACAGCCCGGGUUACCGGAGUCCUGUUAGCCUAGUGCUACAGCUCGGAUUCACACGCUGCUGACCGACAUGCUCGAUGUGAUUCAUGUAUGUCUGUUCCCAUAGGUUGGUGCCGCUUUGGGUUCACGACUAGCCAUGUCGGCCCGGGUUCCCUGUCAUAUGGAUGCUAGUGACACUAUCAUAUACGUGAGCCAAAAGGCGUAAACGGUCCCGGCCAUGGUAAGGCGACACCCGUGGGAAUACCGUGCGUGAGGCCGCAAAGUGAUAUGAGGUGUUACCGGCUAGAUCAAUGUGACUUGGAAUCGGGGUCCUGACACCCCAGGUGGGCUGGUGCGCCCCGCCCCCCCCCCCACACACACACACAAGGGCCCAAGGCGCCUCCAAGAGGGAAAGGGGGCAAACCCUAGGGCAGAUGGGCCCUAAGGCCCACCCCAGGUGCGCCUCCCCCUCUCCCCCUUGUGGCCGCCACCCAGAUGGGAUCUGGGGGCUGCCGCCACCCCUAGGGAGGGAACCCUAGGUGGGGGCGCAGCCCCUCCCCUUCCCCUAUAUAUACUUGAGGUUUGGGCUGCCCAACACACAUGAGUUUCUGACCUCUCCCUGGCGCAGCCCUACCUCUCUUUCUCAUCAUAUCUCGCGGUGCUUGGCGAAGCCCUGCUGGAGUACCACGCUCCUCCACCACCACCACGCCGUUGUGCUGCUGCUGGAUGGAGCCUUCCUCAACCUCUCCCUCUCUCCUUGCUGGAUCAAGGCAUGGGAGACGUCAUCGGGCUGUACGUGUGUUGAACGCGGAGGUGCCAUCCGUUUGGCACUAGGAUCUCCGGUGAUUUGGAUCACGACGAGUAUGACUCCAUCAACCCCGUUCUCUUGAACGCUUCCGCUUAGCGAUCUACAAGGGUAUGUAGAUGCACUCUCCUUCCCCUCGUUGCUGGUUUCUCCAUAGAUAGAUCUUGGUGACACGUAGGAAAAUUUUGAAUUUCUGCUACGUUCCCCAACAGUUUGGGGGUUAAAGACUUACACAGACAAAACAUCAGUCUCCUCACCAAAUGGUGGUGGAAGCUGGAAACCCAACAAGGCCUUUGGCAGGAGAUUAUUCGUGCUAAAUACUUCAGAAAUGACAUGGUUCCCUCGGUGAAGAGUAAAUUUGGGGAUUCCCCCGUUUGGAAAGCUAUUAUGAAAGUAAAGGAAAUUUAUUUGGCAGGUAGAGAGGUGAUUUUAAACUCUGGGAAUAUAGCCAGAGUCUGGAAUGACCCCAUUAGGGGUGCUGCUCCCUUGCGUGUUAAAUUUCCGAUCUUGUUCAGUAUCUAUAAUUAUCAGGAGAUUACUGUUGCUGAAUUUAAAAAGUUUGAGGGGGGUGAUCUUUUUAGAAGGAACCUGCAUCCACCUCUUGUGGAUCAGUGGAAUGAUCUAGUUAAGGUGGUGAACUCUUGGCAAUUGUCCGAUGAGACGGACUAUAUUAGCUGGAGAUUGGGAAAAAAGAAAGGUAAAUUCUCGACCAAAUCGGUCUAUACCUAUUUGGAAAGAACCCUGGCGGGGUGUGAUUUCAUAUGGAUAUGGAAAGCAAAAAUCCCUCUUAAGAUUCAAAUCUUUCUCUGGCAAUUGUUCCAAGAUGCGGUUUUGACUCGAGAAGUCAUGAAAAAGAGAAAAUGGACAAGAAAUCCCAAAUGCUCUUUCUGCAAUGAGGUGGAAACCUCACAGCAUCUUUUAUUUACUCCACCAAGGCAAAAAAGCUUCGAGAAUGUGUUUACCUCCAUCGACGACGAACUGAUUCUACUCCACCAAGGCAAAAAAGCUUCGAGACUGUGUUUACCCGUUUGGUGGAUCGCACUCCUGCGCGAGUGUCUUUUGCUCUCCUGUGUUUUGCCUACGAGCAGGGCGUUGUAGUACUGUUAUGAUUCCUGUUGGAGUUUUCCUUGAUCUGGUUAGGUCUUGUGGUUUGCGUGAUGCUAGGUGUCACUGGGUUUUCGCCCCGCGAUGGGCUGCUCGAUGAGGAGUGCUCAUAGUGGGUUUCCGAGUGAUGCUUUGAUCUCGCCUUACCCCUUUCUUGCUUCCUUAUGCUGUAGUCGUUUAUGCUGGGUCUGUGUUCGUUGAACUUUAAACUUUGUAUUUCCGUUAUGCAAUUAAUGGAAAGGGGUUAUGGCCCGGGUC